Molecule: long non-coding RNA, 712 nt
Organism: Helianthus annuus (common sunflower)
Lineage: Eukaryota; Viridiplantae; Streptophyta; Magnoliopsida; Asterales; Asteraceae
Exons: 4
Source: RefSeq, a predicted model, not a curated record
GAUUUUGACAUUUGAUUUUAUCUAAAGGGGAUGCAAAGGUUCCAGACCCGAGUAAGGUUGAAUUAAAACAGAACAAAAAAACGGUUACACUUGUUUUUAAUUUAAAACACUAACAACUUAUUUUAUCUAAAUUUUAGAAAAGAUUUAAGGAUAUCGGCUAAAGGAACCUCAAAAUAAGGAACAAUUUUAGGGAAGCUACAUUGAUUCCAUAGGUGAAGCCAGAGGAAAUAAUAGCUAUUAUCAGUGACUUCAAUGAGCCUGGCUCACUUGCUCCAACUGGCUUACCGCUUACACCUUGGUGGGACCAAAUAUAUGGUGAUUCAAGGCGAGGCAGGAGCUGUUAUUCGAGGCAAAAAGGAUCAUGAGGAGCAGUUUGAAACCAUCUCCCAAGCACGUAUAUCAUCAGUUGACCGUGAUUGCUUAAGUGGUUAGGGAGGACAUGUCUACACUGUCUGGAUAAAGAAUGGGAGGCUUGACAAGAUUUGGAAAACCAAAUGUGAAGAAAGAAAGCUACGUGAGCGGGUUGAAGGAGAUUAAGGGGAGCAGCGAAUGCAAAAACAAUUGAAAGGUGUUAUGAGAAAAUUAGAUUAUCCGGAUACUUAAAGGUAGUUUUUUGUGUACUGUUUCGAUUAAUAUCUUAAAAAUUGUUAGUUUUGUAAUAUGUAAUAACUUGAGUUUAUGUUAUUGUAUCUGUGGUUAAUUUGUAAACAAA